UACAGAGGGUGCAAACGUUGUUCGGAAUUACUGGGCGUAAAGCGCGUGUAGGCGGCUGCGUGUGUCGGGCGUGAAAUCCCAUGGCUCAACCAUGGAAGUGCACCCGAAACUGCGUAGCUAGAGUCCUGGAGAGGAAGGUGGAAUGCUUGGUGUAGAGGUGAAAUUCGUAGAUAUCAAGCGGAACACCGGUGGCGAAGGCGGCCUUCUGGACAGUGACUGACGCUGAGACGCGAAAGCGUGGGGAGCAAACAGG
This 253-nucleotide ribosomal RNA is filed under the name uncultured bacterium. RNAcentral's name for it is "partial 16S ribosomal RNA". It matches the Rfam family "Bacterial small subunit ribosomal RNA", at positions 524 to 776 of the family's 1533-position model. The record is from RNAcentral.